AUAUAUCGGUUAUGGAUGAGCUUGCGGGGUAUUAGGUAGUUGGUGUGGUAAUGGCGCACCAAGCCCAAGAUACCUAGCCGGUUUGAGAGAACGAUCGGCCACACUGGGACUGAGACACGGCCCAGACGCUUACGAGCGGCAGCAGUGGGGAAUAUUGGACAAUGGGCGAAAGCCUGAUCCAGUGAUAUCGCUUUGGGGAUGACGGCGACAUACGUUGUAAACCCAAUGAAGUACGUUUAGAUUAUGACCGUACGUAUUUUAGAAGUCCCGGC
This 272-nucleotide ribosomal RNA is filed under the name uncultured Alphaproteobacteria bacterium. RNAcentral describes it as "partial 16S ribosomal RNA". It matches the Rfam family "Bacterial small subunit ribosomal RNA", at positions 210 to 497 of the family's 1533-position model. Lineage: Bacteria; Pseudomonadati; Pseudomonadota; Alphaproteobacteria. The record is from RNAcentral.